RNAcentral lists this ribosomal RNA (519 nucleotides) under uncultured marine bacterium. Its description in RNAcentral is "bacterial SSU rRNA". It matches the Rfam family "Bacterial small subunit ribosomal RNA", at positions 380 to 916 of the family's 1533-position model. The record is from RNAcentral.
AGCCUGACGCAGCGACGCCGCGUGCGGGAUGAAGGCCUUCGGGUUGUAACCCCUGUCCGGGGGGAAGAAUAUGACGGUACCCCCUGAGGAAGCCUCGGCUAACUACGUGCCAGCAGCCGCGGUAAAACGUAGGAGGCAAGCGUUAUCCGGAUUUACUGGGCGUAAAGCGUUCGCAGGCGGUCUGGUGUGUCGGAGGUGAAAUCCCCCGGCUCAACCGGGAAGCUGCCUUCGAAACUGCAAGACUAGAGGACAUCAGAGGGUGAUGGAAUUCCCGGUGUAGAGGUGAAAUGCUUAUAUCUCGGGAGGAACACCAGUGGCGAAAGCGGUCACCUGGCCUGUUGCUGACGCUGAGGAACGAAAGCCAGGGUAGCGAACGGGAUUAGAUACCCCGGUAGUCCUGGCUGUAAACGAUGCGCACUAGGUGCUGGGAGAUUCGACCCUUUCUGUGCCGCAGCUAACGCACUAAGUGCCCCGCCUGGGGAGUACGACCGCAAGGUUAAAACUCAAAGGAAUUGACGG